This 305-nucleotide ribosomal RNA is filed under the name uncultured bacterium. RNAcentral describes it as "bacterial SSU rRNA". It matches the Rfam family "Bacterial small subunit ribosomal RNA", at positions 339 to 644 of the family's 1533-position model. The record is from RNAcentral.
CUUCGGGGGAGCAGUGAGGAAUAUUGGUCAAUGGGCGCGAGCCUGAACCAGCCAAGUCGCGUGAGGGAAGACGGUCCUAUGGAUUGUAAACCUCUUUUGUCGGGGAGCAAAAGACGCCACGCGUGGCGUUCCGAGAGUACCCGAAGAAAAAGCAUCGGCUAACUCCGUGCCAGCAGCCGCGGUAAUACGGAGGAUGCGAGCGUUAUCCGGAUUUAUUGGGUUUAAAGGGUGCGCAGGCGGAAGAUCAAGUCAGCGGUAAAAUUGAGAGGCUCAACCUCUUCGAGCCGUUGAAACUGGUUUUCUUG